GGGCGCGUAGCUCAGCGGGAGAGCGCUCCCCUCACACGGGAGAGGUCGUUGGUUCAAUCCCAUCCGCGCCCACCA
This 75-nucleotide transfer RNA is filed under the name Rhodospirillales bacterium. Its description in RNAcentral is "tRNA-Val". It matches the Rfam family "tRNA". Rfam says of the family: Transfer RNA (tRNA) molecules are approximately 80 nucleotides in length. The record is from RNAcentral. Lineage: Bacteria; Pseudomonadati; Pseudomonadota; Alphaproteobacteria; Rhodospirillales.